This 501-nucleotide ribosomal RNA is filed under the name uncultured bacterium. RNAcentral's name for it is "partial 16S ribosomal RNA". It matches the Rfam family "Bacterial small subunit ribosomal RNA", at positions 30 to 523 of the family's 1533-position model. The record is from RNAcentral.
AUUGAACGCUGGCGGCAGGCUUAACACAUGCAAGUCGAGCGGAGAUGAGGUGCUUGCACCUUAUCUUAGCGGCGGACGGGUGAGUAAUGCUUAGGAAUCUGCCUAUUAGUGGGGGACAACAUUCCGAAAGGAAUGCUAAUACCGCAUACGUCCUACGGGAGAAAGCAGGGGAUCUUCGGACCUUGCGCUAAUAGAUGAGCCUAAGUCGGAUUAGCUAGGUGGUGGGGUAAAGGCCUACCAAGGCGACGAUCUGUAGCGGGUCUGAGAGGAUGAUCCGCCACACUGGGACUGAGACACGGCCCAGACUCCUACGGGAGGCAGCAGUGGGGAAUAUUGGACAAUGGGGGAAACCCUGAUCCAGCCAUGCCGCGUGUGUGAAGAAGGCCUUAUGGUUGUAAAGCACUUUAAGCGAGGAGGAGGCUACUGAGACUAAUACUCUUGGAUAGUGGACGUUACUCGCAGAAUAAGCACCGGCUAACUCUGUGCCAGCAGCCGCAGUAA